UACGUUCCUCACUGAGGGCCCUGGUGCCUUUGGAUAAUUUUAGCCCUCAGUAUCUAAUCUGCUGUGAGCAGAGCCGAGCCUUUGGUUUGGAAACCUUGUAGCCACAGGUAGUGAGGAAAUUUAAGAGUUCUUGGGUGGCUUGAUGGCACAAGGUUUCUGAACGGGCGACUAAAAGUAAAUCAUCCAUGUACUGAAGGACAAGAGUGUCCAGGUAUGAGAAUUGGCUCAAGUCUUGGGCUAAUGCCUGGCCAAAUAGAUGGGGGCUAUCCCUGAACCCUUGGGGUAAAACAGUCCAGGUGAGUUGACAGGUUGUGUUUGAAGGAUCUUCAAAGGCAAACAAGAAUUGAGAGUCAGGAUGUACAGGGAUGCAGAAAAAGGCAUUCUUAAGGUCCAGGACUGUAAACCACUCUGCUUCCUCUGGUAUUUGGGAAAGCAGAGUAUAAGGGUUAGGUACAGCUGGGUAUAGAGGGACAAUGGCCUCAUUGAUAAUCCUGAGCUCUUGUGCAAACCUCCACUGUCUGUUGGGUUUCUCUACUCCUAAAAUUGGAGUAUUGCAGGGGCUAUUGCAUGGUUUUACUAGGCCUUGGGCUUUUAGGUCCUUAACAAUCUUUUGGAGUCCUUGUUGGGCCUCAGGUCUAAGGGAGUACUGCCUUUGGUAGGGAAAGGAGGCGGAAUCCUUUAGUUUAACUAGAACAGGAUGGGCAUUCUUUGCUCGUCCAUAUUGUCCUUCUGUUGCCCAGACUUCAGGAUUAAUUCCUUCCUCAAGCAGGGACAACAAAUGGGUGUUCCUUCUCCUAUGUUCAGGUGUAUAAUGGCCCCUGCUUUUGCUAGAAUGUCUUUCCCUAACAAGGGAGUGGAGCUUUCAGGCAUAAUUGGAAAAGCAUGAGAAAAGAGUAAAGUUCCCCAGGCACAACUUAGUGGCUGGGAGAAGUAUCUAAUGACUGGCUGUCCUAGGACCCCUCGGAGAGUGACAGAUCUGGAGGACAGUUGUCCGGGACAGGAGAGUAAGACUGAGAAGGCCGCGCCAGUGUCCAGGAGACAGUUAACCUCCUGGCCCUCAAUGGUCAAGCAUACCCGAGGCUCUGUGAGGGUAAUGGCAUGGGCUGGUGCUUGCCCCGGUACCCUCAGUCCUGCUGCUGGAUCAUCUGGUUAGUGGCUUCUGACUCAGAGGACCUUCAUCCCCUGGGGCAGUGGGCCUUCUAGUGAUUCCCUUGACAUAAUGGUGGACGAGGAGGCAGCUUAUUUCUACUUGGAUGAUCUUUUUUAACGUGUGCUUGUAGACCGCACUGGAAGCAAGCCCUGUUAGGCAUUCGAUUUUCCCAGCUUUUCCUUUUCCAGAGCCUCCAAAGUCCACUUGCCUGAGGGCCAUGACUAAAGCAGUGGCCUUUUUAAAUCCCGUUUGUCCUGUUCCGCCUGCUCCUCCUGAUCUCUAUUAUAAAAAACCAAGGUUGCCAAGUUCAAUAGGGUUUCUAAGUUUUGCUCUGGGCCUAAGGCGGACUUUUGAAGUUUUUUUCUAAUGUCUGCAGCUGACUGAGUGAUAAACUUAUCCUUUAAGAUUAGUUGGCCUUCAAUAGAGUCAGGUGACAGAGAGGUAUGCUUCCUCAAUGCCUCCCUUAGUCUCUCCAGAAAAGCAGUAGGAUUUUCUUCCUUUCCCUGUGUUAUAGUGGACAUCAUUGAAAAAUUUGUAGGCUUCUUCCUGGUUUUCCUUAGUCCUUCCAGCACACAAGUUAGCAAAUGUCUGCAGCACCAAUCUCCAUGUUCUGAUUCUGCGUCCCAGUGAGGGUCUACACUGGGAACUGCCUGCUGGCCUGUGGGGAAUCAUUCUCUUUCCUCUGUUAUCAUCCUAUCAUUGACCUGACUGAGAUACCAGAGAUCGCCAAACUCUCAGGCUGCAGUUAUGGUGGCACUUCUCUCAUUUGGGGUUAACGUCUGAUUUAGCAGUAACAUUAUAUCUCUCCAUAUCAGAUCGAAGGAUUGUCCUAACCCCUGUAAAACAUCAAUAUAGCCAUCAGGGUUAUCUGAGGAUUUACCUAGGUCUAUUUUAAUUUGCUUUAAGUCCGAGAGAGAAAAAGGUACAUGCACUCUGGCUGGGAUGAAUUCUCCUCCUCUCACUGCUUGGAGGGGGCAUAAUCGGGGAAUAUUGGCACCUUUGAUUCAUUGUUUACCCCUUUGUCUAUCUCCUUUUGGACCGUUUGGGUUCAAGGGGGGUCCUUAUUAGUUGGGGGAGGAGUUGGGGGGAUGGUGGGGUAGGGAGGUAGACUCUGAAGGCUUCUUGUAGGGCAUAAAUCACACUUUUUACAUAAUUGCGAGUUGUCUCUUAAUGAAAAGAAAGUUUGUACAUAUGGCACUUCACUCCAGUUGCCUUCUUUUUUACAAAAGAGUUCUAGCUGUAAGAUGGUGUUAUAAUUUAUACUUCCCUCCAGAGGCCAGGUUUCUCCCCCUUGAAGAGGAUAUCGUGGCCAGGCGGUACUGCAGAAGAAAAUGAGUCAUUUCUUUCUUAGCAUCUGAGGGUCAAAUUGGUCCCAAUUCUCCAGAAUACAUCUUAGGGGCAUUUUUGCCUUGGGCGGAACAUUUCCUAUCUGAAAAAAGAACUGAGGGAUGCCAGCACCCCUAGUCAUUUUCCGAUGUGCAUUAAUCUUAGAGUGUCCGCUGUGGUCCUAAUGCUUAUUCCUUUCCAGGGUGCGUAACCACCCAUGGACCUCGGCUUAUCGGAUUAGUUAUGCUCACCGAAGUAGCAGUCUUGCACCCUUUUCCUGCCUUUCUUGACCACAAAGAAAGGGGUCCAGGCUGCUGGAUUCUAGUGGUCCUUUACCAGCGUACCCAACAUUGCCUUUGUGCUCAGGGGUGAGUCCUAGAGCUGGGCUGGGUUCCUGAGUAUUUCAUAACAACCCAGCUUCCCCAUCAAGAUGCAUUCCCAUAAACAACAGUUCUUAUGCAAAUUCAUUUCAGAGAGGGUGUAGGUAACCUUUUGAGUCAGGAUUGAGAUAGUCUUUUUUGAUUCUGUGAGUACUUUAAGGCUUGGCUGAGUGCAAACGGCUCGCACGUUUGAGGAGACCAAUUAUUAAGCAAUUUUUCUAACUCUGCUUCCACAAGAGUCUCCCUACCAAUUACUGAAUGCCCAUUGUGGUUUUUUCCUCAGUCACCAGGGAAGAACCAUCUACUGUCCUGUCCUGAAGGGAGUUCCUCCUAGAUCUGGUCGGACCUUUGUAUGGUAAUUAAGAUUUAAAUCCUUUGUUGGGAAAUCUGCUGGGUUAAUGGGAUUAUCAGUGGUUGGUGUUAAAUUACCUUUUUCUAACAGAAAAGCCGCAUGCUUUAAGAUUUUUGAGUUAGUAAGCUACCUUUUUGCUUUUUUGACUUAGAAUAAUUCUGAACUGAUUAGGUGUGCUCACAAUGAGGUUUCCUCUAAACGUCACUUUUCUACUUUCUUCUGUUUUUGUAUAAGGUGUAAGGAAGGGAUCCAGUUUCAGCUUUCUACAUAUGGCUAACCAGUUUUCCCAGCACCAUUUAUUAAAUAGGGAAUCCUUUCCCCAUUUCUUGUUUUUGUCAGGUUUGUCAAAGAUCAGAUGGUUGUAGAUGUGUGGUAUUAAUUCUGAGGGCUCUGUUCUGUUCCAUUGGUCUGUAUCUCUGUUUUGGUACCAGUACCAUGCUGUUUUGGUUACUGUAGCCUUGUAGUAUAGUUUGAAGUCAGGUAGCAUGAUGCCUCCAGUUUUGUUCUUUUUGCUUAGGAGUGUCUUGGCAAUGCAGGCUCUUUUUUGGUUCCAUAUGAACUUUCAAGUAGUUUUUUCCAAUUCUGUGAAGAAAGUCAUUGGUAGCUUGAUGGGGAUGGCAUUGAAUCUAUAAAUUACCUUGGACGGUAUGGCCAUUUUCACAAUAUUGAUUCUUCCUAUCUAUGAGCAUGGAAUGGCCUUCCAUUUGUUUGUGUCCUCUUUUAUUUCGUUGAGCAGUGGUUUGUAGUUCUCCUUGAAGAGGUCCUUCGCAUCCCUUGUAAAUUGGAUUCCUAGGUAAUUUAUUCUCUUUGAAGCAAUUGUGAAUGAGAGUUCACUCAUGAUUUGGCUCUCUGUUUGUCUGCUAUUGGUGUAUAGGAAUGCUUUUGAUUUUUGCACAUUGAUUUUGUAUCCUGAGACUUUACUGAAGUUGGUUAUCAGCUUAAGGAGAUUUUUGGCUGAGACGAUGGGGUUUUCUAAAUAUACAAUCAUGUCAUCUGCAAACAGGGACAAUUUGACUUCCUCUGUUCCUAGUUGAAUACCCUUUAUUUCUUUCUCCUGCCUGAUUGCCCUGGCCAGAACUUCCAACACUAUGU
This 4300-nucleotide long non-coding RNA is filed under the name Homo sapiens (human). Its description in RNAcentral is "non-protein coding lnc-RNASET2-4:1". Lineage: Eukaryota; Metazoa; Chordata; Mammalia; Primates; Hominidae. The record is from RNAcentral.